Long non-coding RNA from Bos taurus (domestic cattle), 1397 nucleotides. The record is from Ensembl. NCBI's taxonomy places the organism in Eukaryota, Metazoa, Chordata, Mammalia, Artiodactyla, Bovidae.
GGCAAGGAGCACCAUGCUUGGCACAUGGAAAGAGCUUAGUAAAUAGUAGCUACUCUUAUUAGUCUGUUGUGGAGCUAAUUGGGAAUGAACAUGACUUAUUCACACAGUGAGGAGUGCUCAACCAGCCUGUCUUGUUAGUCUCUUUGUUAACCACCUUGCAACUGGAAUUUUUCUCUUUUGCCCUUCAAAUGCAUCUAAUCUGAGGAUUCCCUCCAGCCUCCUGCUGGCUGCAAAAAUCCAGCAGGAAUCUGCUUCUGCAGGGGCUGGCUUCCCAUCUGGCUGGAAUCACCCGCCAGCCACCCACAGCACGAGCACCUCACAAAUUAGGGAGAUCAGGAGCAGCCACUUCAGACAGUUCGCAGGCCGCAGGGUGCCGAUUGGUGGCAGAACCACUUGCUGAAGCUGAAAUUAACAGGUUUCUUGGGUUGAAGGCUUUAAUUAAAAAAUGCUAGGGAAUUAUUUCCUUAAUUCAGAGACUUCUUAGUAAUCACUUUCCCCUGCUUUGCCCUGAGACUCUUUAUCUUCAGCUAGAUUAAUAGAUGGUCUCAACAGCCUGAGCACAGGACCUGAGGCUGGAGUUUUGGGUUGUCAAAUGAGGUGGGUGCUCUUCAAGGCUCCGUUCUGGGGUUCCAGACCUCUUCAGGCUGCGUGUUGCCUUCGGUCCCCUGAAUUAGGUGAAUGGCUUAGCUGACUCGGGCUGCCAUUACAGAACGCCUUAGACUGGCGGCUGAAAUAACAGAAAUUGGUUCCCUCACAGUUCUGGAGGUUGGAAGUCUAAGAUCAAAGAGCUGGUGAGUCUGUUCUUUCCUGAGGCCUCCCCACUUGACAUGCAGAAAAACAUCUUCUGGCUGGCUCUUUACAUGGUCACCCCUUGAUCUAUGUUGUCUGUGUCCUAAUCUUUCUUUUUAUAAGGAUACCAGUCACACUGGAUUGGGCUUCCUAGGUAGCGCUAGUGGUAAAGAACCCAUCUGUCAGGCCAGGAGACAUAUAACUACUUGUUUUCCUCAUUGAUCCUCUUGCCAGCUGCUGUCACCCUUUAAUUGGGAGCCGCUCUUGAAAAGAACUCUGCGUGGCAGGAGGGAGGCAGGAAGAAAAGCAGUGAAGUCACUCAGACCUUGGUUAGAAUCCCGGCUCUGCACUUCCUCAAAUAGUGCCAUCCGAUAGGAACUAAGACUCUCCUCCUCGGCACAGCUCUGAGGGAGGCCGCAGAAGGACAUGGAAUGAGCCUCCCCAACUGUGUUUCCUUAAACACGGAAACCUGAAGACAAGAGCCCUGCAGGGCCCAGGGCAGUCUGCGCUGCGUCCCUCUGUCCCUUCGGUCCCUGCCGCUGAGAGGCUUCCCCAGGAAGCCACACAACCAGGAUGAUCACAUGCUGAGCACCUGCUCUGUGCUAGGC